Molecule: unclassified non-coding RNA, 816 nt
Filed under: Hevea brasiliensis (rubber tree)
Lineage: Eukaryota; Viridiplantae; Streptophyta; Magnoliopsida; Malpighiales; Euphorbiaceae
Source: RNAcentral
AGAGAGAGAGAGAGAGAGAAUGUAUAGACGUACAUGCAAUUACAUUUUGUGUAGAAAAUUGAAUGAACAUAUAAUUUAUCAAAAACUUUUGUCAAUUGUUCUGAGAGAGCAGCUUUAUGGGAUAAUGGUGAGGCAUGAUUCCUAUUAAGGAACAAGCUAUCAUCAAUCCCAAAUUCUCUAGCAUUGGUGAGCGGAAAACCAAAAUGAUUUACAUAAAUAAUAGAUCCAAACAAAUUCCUUUUCCCUUCCUGGUCCAAUACUGUUCAUACGAGUUGUCAUCCAUGGAUAAAAUUUCCUUUCUAGGGCUUGCUGACGGGUCUUUGGGAUCUGAUCAAGGAUAGAAAUAUUUUAGGAAGAAACUACUAAAGAGACCAUAAGCUUUAUGAGGGCUUUAUAGAGCACAAGUUUCAAUUAGAACCUCAAUGGCAAAAACUUGAAAAGUUAUGGGCAUUCUGAUGUUUUUCCCAAGAUCUUAUAUAAACUUUGAGGAGGGGCUAGAAAUAAUUUGCAUACAUACUAAAAUGCACCUGAAAAUACAAGCCAAAAACUAAAUAAGCAAUAAAAGAAAAUGAUUAGUAGCUGGAGUCUUAGCACAUGAUAACCAUUUGACACAUCAUGGCUAUAACUGUCCCAUAUUUUUCAGCCUCUGUUGGAAUUUUCAUAGGAAAUCUUAUCGUAAAAUUUAUGUGCAAUACUAACAUGAUGUGCAUUUUGUUCGUGUAAAGGAUCUGUAUGUUUGAACAGAAUUAAAUGCAGUGCAUUUCUGACCCUGUUUUGCGUUAUUUUUAAUUUAGGUGACUUGGAUUGGCUACCCAA